UACGAAGGGGGCUAGCGUUGUUCGGAAUUACUGGGCGUAAAGGGCGCGUAGGCUGUGCUGUAAGUCAGGCGUGAAAUCCCCGGGCUCAACCUGGGAAUUGCGCAUGAUACUGCGGCGCUUGAAGACGGGAGAGGAUGGCGGAAUUCCCAGUGUAGAGGUGAAAGUCGUAGAUAUUGGGAAGAACACCAGUGGCGAAGGCGGCCGGCUGGGCAGUGGCUGACACUGAGGCGCGACAGCGUGGGGAGCAAACAGG
This 253-nucleotide ribosomal RNA is filed under the name uncultured bacterium. RNAcentral's name for it is "partial 16S ribosomal RNA". It matches the Rfam family "Bacterial small subunit ribosomal RNA", at positions 524 to 776 of the family's 1533-position model. The record is from RNAcentral.